GUCGAGCGGAUGAAGAGAGCUUGCUCUCUGAUUCAUCGGCGGACGGGUGAGUAAUGCCUAGGAAUCUGCCUGGUAGUGGGGGACAACGUUUCGAAAGGAACGCUAAUACCGCAUACGUCCUACGGGAGAAAGUGGGGGAUCUUCGGACCUCACGCUAUCAGAUGAGCCUAGGUCGGAUUAGCUAGUUGGUGAGGUAACGGCUCACCAAGGCGACGAUCCGUAACUGGUCUGAGAGGAUGAUCAGUCACACUGGAACUGAGACACGGUCCAGACUCCUACGGGAGGCAGCAGUGGGGAAUAUUGGACAAUGGGCGAAAGCCUGAUCCAGCCAUGCCGCGUGUGUGAAGAAGGCCCUCGGGUCGUAAAGCACUUUAAGCUGGGAGGAAGGGUUGUAACUUAAUACGUUGCAGCUUUGACGUUACCAGCAGAAUAAGCACCGGCUAACUCUGUGCCAGCAGCCGCGGUAAUACAGAGGGUGCAAGCGUUAAUCGGAAUUACUGGGCGUAAAGCGCGCGUAGGUGGCUUGGUAAGUUGAAUGUGAAAUCCCCGGGCUCAACCUGGGAACUGCAUCCAAAACUGCCUGGCUAGAGUACGGUAGAGGGUGGUGGAAUUUCCUGUGUAGCGGUGAAAUGCGUAGAUAUAUGGAGGAACACCAGUGGCGAAGGCGACUUUCUGGUCUGCAACUGACGCUGAUGUGCGAAA
Molecule: ribosomal RNA, 702 nt
Filed under: uncultured Pseudomonadales bacterium
Lineage: Bacteria; Pseudomonadati; Pseudomonadota; Gammaproteobacteria; Pseudomonadales
Description: bacterial SSU rRNA
Rfam family: Bacterial small subunit ribosomal RNA
Source: RNAcentral